This 444-nucleotide ribosomal RNA is filed under the name uncultured bacterium. RNAcentral describes it as "SSU rRNA". It matches the Rfam family "Bacterial small subunit ribosomal RNA", at positions 26 to 518 of the family's 1533-position model. The record is from RNAcentral.
AGAACGAACGCUGGCGGCACGCCUAACACAUGCAAGUCGAGCGCCCAGCAAUGGGAGCGGCGGACGGGUGAGGAACACGUGGGAAUAUGCCUUUCGGUUCGGCACAACUGCGGGAAACUGCAGCUAAUUCCGGAUACGCCCUUACGGGGAAAGAUUUAUCGCCGAAAGAUUAGCCCGCGUCUGAUUAGCUAGUUGGUGAGGUAAUGGCUCACCAAGGCUUCGAUCAGUAGCUGGUUUGAGAGAACGACCAGCCACACUGGGACUGAGACACGGCCCAGACUCCUACGGGAGGCAGCAGUGGGGAAUCUUGGACAAUGGAGGAAACUCUGAUCCAGCGAUGCCGCGUGAGUGAUGAAGGCCUUCGGGUUGUAAAACUCUUUUACCAGGGAAGAUAAUGACUGUACCUGGAGAAUAAGCUCCGGCUAACUCGUCGCCAGCAGCCGC